This 974-nucleotide ribosomal RNA is filed under the name Streptomyces sp. Durck45. RNAcentral's name for it is "bacterial SSU rRNA". It matches the Rfam family "Bacterial small subunit ribosomal RNA", at positions 547 to 1501 of the family's 1533-position model. The record is from RNAcentral. Lineage: Bacteria; Bacillati; Actinomycetota; Actinomycetes; Kitasatosporales; Streptomycetaceae.
GGAAAUUUUUUGGGGCGUAAAGGGCUCGUAGGCGGUUUGUCGCGUCGGUUGUGAAGCCCGGGGGCUUAACCCCGGGUCUGCAGUCGAUACGGGCAGGCUGAGUUCGGUAGGGGAGAUCGGAAUUCGUGGUUGUAGCGGUGAAAUGCGCAAAUAUCAGGAGGAACACCGGUGGCGAAGGCGGAUCUCUGGGCCGAUACUUGACGCUGAGGACCGAAAGCGUGGGGAGCGAACAGGAUUAAAUACCCUGGUAGUCCACGCCGUAAACGGUGGGCACUAGGUGUGGGCGACAUUCCACGUCGUCCGUGCCGCAGCUAACGCAUUAAGUGCCCCGCCUUGGGGAGUACGGCCGCAACGCUAAAACUCAAAGGAAUUGACGGGGGCCCGCACAAGCGGCGGAGCAUGUGGCUUAAUUCGACGCAACGCGAAGAACCUUACCAGGGCUUGACAUACACCGGAAAACCCUGGAGACAGGGUCCCCCUUGUGGACGGUGUACAGGUGGUGCAUGGCUGUCCUCCGCUCCUGGCCUGAGAUGUUGGGGUUAAGUCCCGCAACGAGCGCAACCCUUGUCCCGUGUUGCCAACAAGUCCUUGUGGUGCUGGGGACCUCACUGCAGACCACCGGGGUCAACUCGGAGGAGAGUGGGGACGACGUCCAGUCAUCUUGCCCCUAUGUCUUGGGCUGCACACGUGCUACAAUGCCCAGUACUAUGAGCUGCGAUACCUCGAGGUGGAGCCGAAUCUCAAAAAUCCGGUCUCAGUUCGGAUUGCAACUCUGCAACUCUACCCCAUGAAUUCGGAAGUCGCUAGUAUCGCAUAUCAGCAUUGCAUGCGUGACUACGUUCUCUGGACCCUCGUACACUCCGACCAGUCACAGUCACGAAAGUCCGUAGCACCGCGAGGUAAGCCGUUCUAGACGCAUGCUGGCCAAGGAGCUGUUCCGAUGUAUUGACGUGGCAGAAUUCUGUGUGGAACCA